UUGGAGGGCAAGUCUGGUGCCAGCAGCCGCGGUAAUUCCAGCUCCAAUAGCGUAUAUUAAAGUUGUUGCAGUUAAAAAGCUCGUAGUUGAAUUUCGAGAUCAGUACGCUGGUCGUGCCUUCGGUAUGCACUGGUGUCACUGGUUUCUCCCUUCUGAAGAACCGUCAUGUCAUUAAGUUGGUGUGGCGGGGAAUCAGGACUGUUACUUUGAAAAAUUAGAGUGUUUAAAGCAGGCUCGCGCUUGAAUACAUUAGCAUGGAAUAAUGAAAUAGGACGUUUGACCCUAUUUUGUUGGUUUCUAGGAUCGACGUAAUGAUUAAUAGGGAUAGUUGGGGGCAUUAGUAUUCAAUUGUCAGAGGUGAAAUUCUUGGAUUUAUUGAAGACUAACUACUGCGAAAGCAUUUGCCAAGGAUGUUUUCAUUAAUCAAGAACGAAAGUUAGGGGAUCGAAGACGAUCAGAUACCGUCGUAGUCUUAACCAUAAACUAUGCCGACUAGGGAUCGGGUGAUGUUAAUUUUUAAUGACUCAUUCGGCGCC
RNAcentral lists this ribosomal RNA (536 nucleotides) under uncultured Glomus. Its description in RNAcentral is "SSU rRNA". It matches the Rfam family "Eukaryotic small subunit ribosomal RNA", at positions 548 to 1087 of the family's 1831-position model. The record is from RNAcentral. Lineage: Eukaryota; Fungi; Glomeromycota; Glomeromycetes; Glomerales; Glomeraceae.